RNAcentral lists this ribosomal RNA (1556 nucleotides) under Escherichia coli. RNAcentral describes it as "bacterial SSU rRNA". It matches the Rfam family "Bacterial small subunit ribosomal RNA". Lineage: Bacteria; Pseudomonadati; Pseudomonadota; Gammaproteobacteria; Enterobacterales; Enterobacteriaceae. RNAcentral also lists the same sequence under 4 other names. The record is from RNAcentral.
UUAAAUUGAAGAGUUUGAUCAUGGCUCAGAUUGAACGCUGGCGGCAGGCCUAACACAUGCAAGUCGAACGGUAACAGGAAGCAGCUUGCUGCUUCGCUGACGAGUGGCGGACGGGUGAGUAAUGUCUGGGAAACUGCCUGAUGGAGGGGGAUAACUACUGGAAACGGUAGCUAAUACCGCAUAACGUCGCAAGACCAAAGAGGGGGACCUUCGGGCCUCUUGCCAUCGGAUGUGCCCAGAUGGGAUUAGCUUGUUGGUGGGGUAACGGCUCACCAAGGCGACGAUCCCUAGCUGGUCUGAGAGGAUGACCAGCCACACUGGAACUGAGACACGGUCCAGACUCCUACGGGAGGCAGCAGUGGGGAAUAUUGCACAAUGGGCGCAAGCCUGAUGCAGCCAUGCCGCGUGUAUGAAGAAGGCCUUCGGGUUGUAAAGUACUUUCAGCGGGGAGGAAGGGAGUAAAGUUAAUACCUUUGCUCAUUGACGUUACCCGCAGAAGAAGCACCGGCUAACUCCGUGCCAGCAGCCGCGGUAAUACGGAGGGUGCAAGCGUUAAUCGGAAUUACUGGGCGUAAAGCGCACGCAGGCGGUUUGUUAAGUCAGAUGUGAAAUCCCCGGGCUCAACCUGGGAACUGCAUCUGAUACUGGCAAGCUUGAGUCUCGUAGAGGGGGGUAGAAUUCCAGGUGUAGCGGUGAAAUGCGUAGAGAUCUGGAGGAAUACCGGUGGCGAAGGCGGCCCCCUGGACGAAGACUGACGCUCAGGUGCGAAAGCGUGGGGAGCAAACAGGAUUAGAUACCCUGGUAGUCCACGCCGUAAACGAUGUCGACUUGGAGGUUGUGCCCUUGAGGCGUGGCUUCCGGAGCUAACGCGUUAAGUCGACCGCCUGGGGAGUACGGCCGCAAGGUUAAAACUCAAAUGAAUUGACGGGGGCCCGCACAAGCGGUGGAGCAUGUGGUUUAAUUCGAUGCAACGCGAAGAACCUUACCUGGUCUUGACAUCCACGGAAGUUUUCAGAGAUGAGAAUGUGCCUUCGGGAACCGUGAGACAGGUGCUGCAUGGCUGUCGUCAGCUCGUGUUGUGAAAUGUUGGGUUAAGUCCCGCAACGAGCGCAACCCUUAUCCUUUGUUGCCAGCGGUCCGGCCGGGAACUCAAAGGAGACUGCCAGUGAUAAACUGGAGGAAGGUGGGGAUGACGUCAAGUCAUCAUGGCCCUUACGACCAGGGCUACACACGUGCUACAAUGGCGCAUACAAAGAGAAGCGACCUCGCGAGAGCAAGCGGACCUCAUAAAGUGCGUCGUAGUCCGGAUUGGAGUCUGCAACUCGACUCCAUGAAGUCGGAAUCGCUAGUAAUCGUGGAUCAGAAUGCCACGGUGAAUACGUUCCCGGGCCUUGUACACACCGCCCGUCACACCAUGGGAGUGGGUUGCAAAAGAAGUAGGUAGCUUAACCUUCGGGAGGGCGCUUACCACUUUGUGAUUCAUGACUGGGGUGAAGUCGUAACAAGGUAACCGUAGGGGAACCUGCGGUUGGAUCACCUCCUUACCUUAAAGAAGC